This 252-nucleotide ribosomal RNA is filed under the name uncultured soil bacterium. RNAcentral's name for it is "partial 16S ribosomal RNA". It matches the Rfam family "Bacterial small subunit ribosomal RNA", at positions 26 to 281 of the family's 1533-position model. The record is from RNAcentral.
AGAUUGAACGCUAGCGGGAUGCUUUACACAUGCAAGUCGAACGGCAGCGCGGACUUCGGUCUGGCGGCGAGUGGCGAACGGGUGAGUAAUAUAUCGGAACGUGCCCAGUAGCGGGGGAUAACUACGCGAAAGCGUGGCUAAUACCGCAUACGCCCUACGGGGGAAAGGGGGGAUCGCAAGACCUCUCACUAUUGGAGCGGCCGAUAUUAGAUUAGCUAGUUGGUGAGGUAAAGGCUCACCAAGGCGACGAUC